UACGUAGGGGGCAAGCGUUGUCCGGAUUUAUUGGGCGUAAAGAGCGUGUAGGCGGCCAGGUAGGUCCGUUGUGAAAACUCGAGGCUCAACCUCGAGACGCCGAUGGAAACCAUCUGGCUAGAGUCCGGAAGAGGAGAGUGGAAUUCCCGGUGUAGCGGUGAAAUGCGCAGAUAUCGGGAAGAACACCCGUGGCUAAGGCGGCUCUCUAGUACGGUACUGACGCUGAGACGCGAAAGCUAGGGGAGCAAACGGG
This 253-nucleotide ribosomal RNA is filed under the name uncultured bacterium. RNAcentral's name for it is "partial 16S ribosomal RNA". It matches the Rfam family "Bacterial small subunit ribosomal RNA", at positions 524 to 776 of the family's 1533-position model. The record is from RNAcentral.